RNAcentral lists this ribosomal RNA (263 nucleotides) under uncultured bacterium. Its description in RNAcentral is "partial 16S ribosomal RNA". It matches the Rfam family "Bacterial small subunit ribosomal RNA", at positions 91 to 354 of the family's 1533-position model. The record is from RNAcentral.
AUUAGUGGCGGACGGGUGAGUAACGCGUGGAUAACCUGCCGUAUACAGGGGGAUAACACUUAGAAAUAGGUGCUAAUACCGCAUAAGCGCACGGUUCCGCAGGGAACAGUGUGAAAAACUCCGGUGGUAUACGAUGGAUCCGCGUCUGAUUAGCCAGUUGGCGGGGUAACGGCCCACCAAAGCGACGAUCAGUAGCCGGCCUGAGAGGGUGAACGGCCACAUUGGGACUGAGACACGGCCCAAACUCCUACGGAAGGCAGCAG